Molecule: small nuclear RNA, 191 nt
Organism: Suricata suricatta (meerkat)
Lineage: Eukaryota; Metazoa; Chordata; Mammalia; Carnivora; Herpestidae
Gene: U2
Rfam family: U2 spliceosomal RNA
About the family: U2 is a small nuclear RNA (snRNA) component of the spliceosome (involved in pre-mRNA splicing). Complementary binding between U2 snRNA (in an area lying towards the 5' end but 3' to hairpin I) and the branchpoint sequence (BPS) of the intron results the bulging out of an unpaired adenosine, on the BPS, which initiates a nucleophilic attack at the intronic 5' splice site, thus starting the first of two transesterification reactions that mediate splicing.
Source: Ensembl
AUUGCCUCUCAGCCUUUUGGCUAAGAUAAAGUAUAGUAUUUGUUCCUAUCAGUGUAGUAUCUGACAUGGCCUCUCUCCUCGGACAGUGUAUUAAAUGGAUUUUUGGAGCAGGGAGAUGGAUACAGGAGCUGCUCUGUACACUCCAUGCAUCAACCUGGUGACAUGAUACUCCUAGGAAAGGUGCACCCCAU